UACGGAGGGUGCAAGCGUUGUCCGGAUUUAUUGGGUUUAAAGGGUGCGUAGGCGGCUUUUUAAGUCAGUGGUGAAAGACAACAGCUCAACUGUUGCAGUGCCAUUGAUACUGAAGAGCUUGAGUACAGAUGAGGUAGGCGGAAUUUAUGGUGUAGCGGUGAAAAUGCAUAGAUACCAUAAAGAACACCUAUUGCGAAGGCAGCUUACUAAGCUGUAACUGACGCUGAGGCACGAAAGUGUGGGGAUCAAACAGG
This 254-nucleotide ribosomal RNA is filed under the name uncultured bacterium. RNAcentral describes it as "partial 16S ribosomal RNA". It matches the Rfam family "Bacterial small subunit ribosomal RNA", at positions 524 to 776 of the family's 1533-position model. The record is from RNAcentral.